GACGAACGCUGGCGGCGUGCUUAACACAUGCAAGUCGAACGCUGAAAGCUCAGCUUUUGUUGGGGUGGAUGAGUGGCGAACGGGUGAGUAACACGUGAGUAACCUGCCCCCUUCUUUGGGAUAACGCCCGGAAACGGGUGCUAAUACAGGAUAUUCACUUGCCUUCGCAUGGGGGUUGGUGGAAAGGGUUUUUUCUGGUGGGGGAUGGGCUCGCGGCCUAUCAGCUUGUUGGUGGGGUGAUGGCCUACCAAGGCUUUGACGGGUAGCCGGCCUGAGAGGGUGACCGGUCACAUUGGGACUGAGAUACGGCCCAGACUCCUACGGGAGGCAGCAGUGGGGAAUAUUGCACAAUGGGCGAAAGCCUGAUGCAGCGACGCCGCGUGAGGGAUGGAGGCCUUCGGGUUGUAAACCUCUUUCGCUCAUGGUCAAGCCGCAGCUUUGGGUUGUGGUGAGGGUAGUGGGUAAAGAAGCGCCGGCUAACUACGUGCCAGCAGCCGCGGUAAUACGUAGGGCGCGAGCGUUGUCCGGAAUUAUUGGGCGUAAAGGGCUUGUAGGCGGUUGGUCGCGUCUGCCGUGAAAUCCUCUGGCUUAACUGGGGGCGUGCGGUGGGUACGGGCUGACUUGAAUGCGGUAGGGGAGACUGGAACUCCUGGUGUAGCGGUGGAAUGCGCAGAUAUCAGGAAGAACACCGGUGGCGAAGGCGGGUCUCUGGGCCGUUACUGACGCUGAGGAGCGAAAGCGUGGGGAGCGAACAGG
RNAcentral lists this ribosomal RNA (756 nucleotides) under uncultured Actinomyces sp. Its description in RNAcentral is "bacterial SSU rRNA". It matches the Rfam family "Bacterial small subunit ribosomal RNA", at positions 28 to 776 of the family's 1533-position model. The record is from RNAcentral. Lineage: Bacteria; Bacillati; Actinomycetota; Actinomycetes; Actinomycetales; Actinomycetaceae.